GGCAAGCAAGCUACAUCUCUCCUAUUACCUCACUCCCAGCUCCUUAUUUUGGUCAUCUUACUAGAUAGCUCUCCCCCUUGUCCUAACCAAUUUAUGGCGUUGUUGAGGUUGGAAGGAACUCCUGAGGUGGUUGGAGACGAUUAACAAGGAAUACAAAGGUGGGAACAGAAGUUGGCAACUUGUUUUCCCCAUCACUUAUAAACCAAAAAGUAUCCCAAAAAUUUCCAACAGUUUUAACCAACACCAUUCCAGAGUCUCCUUUAUAUCAUAAUAAUUACCCUUUGCAAAUAUAGGAAUCUCACCCAAACCAUCAUCAUCACAUCUAAAAUCAAGCUUUAAUCAAAAUUCAAAUCCAUAACCAUACCAACUACCUUAAAACUCCAACAAGCCGAAACCCAAACCCGAAAAUCCAAUAAAAGCAACCUCUCUUUGGCGGUCAGAGAAUCAACCGGCGACAGUAUUGAAAUGGCGAUGCAUGGCGAUGGUUUGCAAAGGAGAGGGAACCCAAUUUUUCUGUCCUCCUUUCGUGAUGGUGAAGAAUGAUAUUUUUAUUUUAUUUUAUUUUACAAGCCUUGAUAUUAAGGCCAACAAGAAUUUCAACCCAAUAUUAGCAGAUCAACCAGUAGAAAUUACAUGACAAAUAUGUGUUGAUUUUAAAAAAAAAAUGAAAAGCGAUUUUUGUUUUAAUUUAUAUACGAUGCUUUGGUUGGUUAUAUAUGACUUCUAAUUUAAUUUUUAAAUGAUUCCACUUAUAUGAUUUUAAUUUUUGUUCUAAUCUUUGGUGAAACUAAUUUUAUUUAAAAUUAAUUAUGAUAUUUAUAAUCACACAAAAUUACAAUUUUAACAUUUACCUCGUAUGAAGUAAUUGCUUUAAAAUCUUGUUACCCAUAAAAAUUGAAACAACUUAUAAUAAAAGUCAUAACAAAUUCCUAUAUGAUGUUAAUGAAUUCUUUCUUCGGAUGAUAUUUUUAAUUUUAGAGGUUGCUAAAAUGGGUACUAAUUUUGAAACAUUGAGAAAUUUCCUUCUUGUAGGGAAAGCAAGUGAAUAUUGGUGGAUUGGGUUGCUUGCAGCACAGUUGCUUCUUGUAGUGUGAUAU
This 1097-nucleotide long non-coding RNA is filed under the name Gossypium barbadense (sea-island cotton). RNAcentral describes it as "long non-coding RNA (GBAR_LNC021003)". Lineage: Eukaryota; Viridiplantae; Streptophyta; Magnoliopsida; Malvales; Malvaceae. The record is from RNAcentral.